Molecule: long non-coding RNA, 202 nt
Filed under: Musa acuminata (dwarf banana)
Lineage: Eukaryota; Viridiplantae; Streptophyta; Magnoliopsida; Zingiberales; Musaceae
Description: long non-coding RNA (MACU_LNC003394)
Source: RNAcentral
CGAAUUUAAUUCUCAUUUAGGAGGUGUGAUCCUAAUUCAAGAUUGAUAAUAUUUAAUUCAACAAACAAUCCAGGAUCCAAUCACACAUUUGAGGUCACUAAGAAAAACAUUCAAGUCAUUCACCUCUACAAUCCACAAUUCACAAAACCUGUGCAGUUUAUAAUCAUACAUCAUGUCACUAGAUGAUUCUUAAAAUCCAAAA